This 497-nucleotide ribosomal RNA is filed under the name uncultured bacterium. Its description in RNAcentral is "partial 16S ribosomal RNA". It matches the Rfam family "Bacterial small subunit ribosomal RNA", at positions 28 to 507 of the family's 1533-position model. The record is from RNAcentral.
GAUGAACGCUGGCGGCGUGCCUAAUACAUGCAAGUCGAGCGAACGGACGAGAAGCUUGCUUCUCUGAUGUUAGCGGCGGACGGGUGAGUAACACGUGGAUAACCUACCUAUAAGACUGGGAUAACUUCGGGAAACCGUAGCUAAUACCGGAUAAUAUUUUGAACCGCAUGGUUCAAAAGUGAAAGACGGUCUUGCUGUCACUUAUAGAUGGAUCCGCGCUGCAUUAGCUAGUUGGUAAGGUAACGGCUUACCAAGGCAACGAUGCAUAGCCGACCUGAGAGGGUGAUCGGCCACACUGGAACUGAGACACGUUCCAGACUCCUACGGGAGGCAGCAGUAGGGAAUCUUCCGCAAUGGGCGAAAGCCUGACGGAGCAACGCCGCGUGAGUGGUGAAGGUCUUCGGAUCGUAAAACUCUGUUAUUAGGGAAGAACAUAUGUGUAAGUAACUGUGCACAUCUUGACGGUACCUAAUCAGAAAGCCACGGCUAACUACGUG